Molecule: non-coding RNA, 126 nt
Organism: Triticum aestivum (bread wheat)
Lineage: Eukaryota; Viridiplantae; Streptophyta; Magnoliopsida; Poales; Poaceae
Source: Rfam
ACUCUACUCCCUCCGUUCCAAAUUACUUGACUCAUAUUUAGAAUGUAUCUAGACACUAAAUAAGUAUAGAUAUAUUUAUAUUUAGAUAAAUUCAAGUCAACUAAUUUGAAACGAAGGGAAUAUCUA